Molecule: ribosomal RNA, 231 nt
Filed under: uncultured bacterium
Lineage: Bacteria
Description: partial 16S ribosomal RNA
Rfam family: Bacterial small subunit ribosomal RNA
Source: RNAcentral
CGGACGGGUGAGUAAUGUCUGGGAAACUGCCUGAUGGAGGGGGAUAACUACUGGAAACGGUAGCUAAUACCGCAUAACGUCGCAAGGCCAAAGAGGGGACCUUCGGGCCUCUUGCCAUCGGAUGUGCCCAGAUGGGAUUAGCUAGUAGGUGGGGUAACGGCUCACCUAGGCGACGAUCCCUAGCUGGUCUGAGAGGAUGACCAGCCACACUGGAACUGAGACACGGUCCAG